GGGAGUGGACGGAUCCUGGUGGAUCUCCUGGCCUUCAAAGCCAGCUGGCGGGCAGGAAAAAGUCCGCGGUAGGUUCGAUUCCUACCCACUCCC
This 93-nucleotide transfer RNA is filed under the name Ammonifex degensii KC4. RNAcentral's name for it is "Selenocysteine transfer RNA". It matches the Rfam family "Selenocysteine transfer RNA". Lineage: Bacteria; Bacillati; Bacillota; Clostridia; Thermoanaerobacterales; Thermoanaerobacteraceae. The record is from Rfam by way of RNAcentral.